GACGAACGCUGGCGGCGUGCUUAACACAUGCAAGUCGAACGGAAUGGCCCUGCUUGCAGGGUGCUCGAGUGGCGAACGGGUGAGUAACACGUGGGUGAUCUGCCCCUUACUUUGGGAUAAGCCUGGGAAACUGGGUCUAAUACUGGAUAGGACCAUGCUGUAGGUGGUGUGGUGGAAAGAUUAGUUUCGGUAAGGGAUGAGCUCGCGGCCUAUCAGCUUGUUGGUGGGGUAAUGGCCUACCAAGGCGUCGACGGGUAGCCGGCCUGAGAGGGUGGACGGCCACAUUGGGACUGAGAUACGGCCCAGACUCCUACGGGAGGCAGCAGUGGGGAAUAUUGCACAAUGGGCGCAAGCCUGAUGCAGCGACGCCGCGUGGGGGAUGACGGCCUUCGGGUUGUAAACUCCUUUCAGCCAUGACGAAGCCCUUGUGGUGACGGUAGUGGUAGAAGAAGCACCGGCUAACUACGUG
Molecule: ribosomal RNA, 469 nt
Filed under: uncultured bacterium
Lineage: Bacteria
Description: partial 16S ribosomal RNA
Rfam family: Bacterial small subunit ribosomal RNA
Source: RNAcentral